GAUGAACGCUGGCGGCGUGCUUAACACAUGCAAGUCGAACGGGAAACCUUUUAUUGAAGCUUCGGCAGAUUUAGCUGGUUUCUAGUGGCGGACGGGUGAGUAACGCGUGGGUAACCUGCCUUAUACAGGGGGAUAACAGUCAGAAAUGGCUGCUAAUACCGCAUAAGCGCACAGAGCUGCAUGGCUCAGUGUGAAAAACUCCGGUGGUAUAAGAUGGACCCGCGUUGGAUUAGCUGGUUGGUGGGGUAACGGCCCACCAAGGCGACGAUCCAUAGCCGGCCUGAGAGGGUGAACGGCCACAUUGGGACUGAGACACGGUCCAGACUCCUACGGGAGGCAGCAGUGGGGAAUAUUGCACAAUGGGGUAAACCCUGAUGCAGCGACGCCGCGUGAAGGAAGAAGUAUCUCGGUAUGUAAACUUCUAUCAGCAGGGAAGAUAAUGACGGUACCUGACGAAGAAGCCCCGGCUAACUACGUG
This 478-nucleotide ribosomal RNA is filed under the name uncultured bacterium. Its description in RNAcentral is "partial 16S ribosomal RNA". It matches the Rfam family "Bacterial small subunit ribosomal RNA", at positions 28 to 507 of the family's 1533-position model. The record is from RNAcentral.